Molecule: long non-coding RNA, 1345 nt
Filed under: Homo sapiens (human)
Lineage: Eukaryota; Metazoa; Chordata; Mammalia; Primates; Hominidae
Description: HSALNT0077184
Source: RNAcentral
GGAGUCCAGGCAAAAUCCAAAGCGACUGGAAGGGCAGUUUGUUAACUCAUUCAGCCGCCUCCUCGCCCCACAGCUAACGAAUUCUUGGGCGCCAGCCUGGACAGAAAGGGGAGGAGACAAGCCUGCUGUGAUGAUACUUUAACGAUGAUACAGGAAAAUGACAGGAUAGGUACCAUGUCAUAGGAAGAAUACUUGGAAGACCUGGGCUCAUUUUAUUGAGGCAUCCGUCCACAAAUGCCUAUGGAGCAUUCAGGCUUUCCAGAAAUAUUCAUGGAAUACUUUCUGUGUAUAAAGUGGGCAUUCGAUGAGCAAUAGCACCACCUGCUACCACCUACUAGAAAUGUCGUCUUGUAGAACAAAGAAAUACGCACGCCCUGCUGUUCUGCAAUCAGGCUCUGACAGAAGCUUUCAGGUGUGGUGCUUACAAGAUCAGACUCAUUGACUCACUCACUUCUCCCUGCUCCGUCACUACACUCCCAGGACAAGAUAUUUUGCUUAACAAAUAAUGACUACAUCCAACCAGAUAAGGAUACAAACAAGCACAUUCUUCCACUAUCAGUCCUCACCAGAGGACUCUGUGGCCAUAAAAAGAGUAAGGCUUCAGCAGCUCAACACAACUGACGCAGUCCUGCUAUCAGUUGCGAUAAGCACCUGGCAUCUGCCUACAAAGGCUCUGCCCACAUCAAAGACUCUUCCUUGCGAGACUGAGGGACUGCCCAGGCCAAGCCAGGAGAUUCUUUUUGUCUUCGUUGUUCUCCCUGCAAUGGUUCAUUAACUCUUUUUUCUCUCCCUUUUCUCUUGAUGUUAAAUGUUACUUUGUGAGCUGUGGAAUGUUUAACAUGUAUAUAGUGACCACGUAUUCUAUUACAUAUGGUUUUCAGUAUUAACUGACUUGUGGAGUGGCUUGAGCCUGUGUGCCCGCUAUUCUCACUACCGAGUGAAUGGGAAGUUCUGAGGAGAACCUCUUUCUUGGGAACUCCAUUGAGCUCAUGGUUUUUGUGAUUGAAACAGUAUCAAUAAAAGUCUGACCUUGUGGCAAGAUACAAAUGUAUGUGGACCUUGCACGGCUCAUGAGAGGCAUAACUCUGAAACAUGGGUCAGAAUUCCUGUCUUUCUGUUUCAAAUUGCUCAACAGUGCUAAACAUAUUGUUUUAGACAUAAUAGGAGCUUAGCAAAUGAGUAUUUCUGUAUUUGCUGGCUUCAAUUGCCUUGAAUUAACACAAGAAGCAGACCAGACUGGGGAAGAAAGUUAUUUGUAUAGAGAAAUUCUUAAAUGGCGAAUCUGUAAGGGGCAUUAUCCUUACAUUCUCCCUUCUCUCUGCAUGCCUCUAACCAAAGACAGACC